This 638-nucleotide long non-coding RNA is filed under the name Homo sapiens (human). RNAcentral describes it as "HSALNT0401751". Lineage: Eukaryota; Metazoa; Chordata; Mammalia; Primates; Hominidae. The record is from RNAcentral.
GCACAGUGCUGGCGCAAGUCGUCUUGCGCCAGGCGACUGGGUCUGAGGAGGCAGGAGUUAUUCAUUCCCUUAAGCUUUCAGGCCGGGGGGAGAAUCUUUCAGGUGGUAGCUGCAAGAACUCUUAGUAUGUUGACCUCACCUCUGCCUUCCACAUACCACUACCAGUGAGGAAUUAGGAAUGCAUGAGAAGAGUGUCCAAGAAGAGUGUCCUCAUUCAUGCAAGGCUUAAGAGAGAAUGCAGGUCAACAUCACCAUGUCAAUCAGAGGUGCAGAUGCUGAGAGCACUUUCUAGUCAAGUCCUGCAUGUUCAUUUCUGUCUCAAGUCAGCUUCUCUGAGAAUCCAAUUUAUAAAAAUAUAUUUGUGAAUGUAUAAGUAAAGUGACUUGGAUUUUGUCUACGUACAAGGACUUCUAUGCCUGCAUAAAACAGCGUAGUUUGGAACCAGCAGCAGCAGCAGCUCCCCAGACCUACUGAAUCAGAAUCUACAUUUUGAUAAGAGCCCAGGGUGACUCCAUGUACGUGAAAAAGUUUGAGAAGUCCUUAGACCUACAGUUCACAGCUUCUCCUUCUUUCUUAUUCAACUGAAUUGCAGUGGGACCUGAGUAUGGUUAAAAUAAAUGAAUAAAAACACAAAUCAA